Molecule: ribosomal RNA, 303 nt
Filed under: uncultured bacterium
Lineage: Bacteria
Description: partial 16S ribosomal RNA
Rfam family: Bacterial small subunit ribosomal RNA
Source: RNAcentral
AGCAGUAGCCGCGGUAAUACGGAGGGUGCAAGCGUUAUCCGGAUUUAUUGGGUUUAAAGGGUCCGUAGGCGGACUUAUAAGUCAGUGGUGAAAGCCUGUCGCUUAACGAUAGAACUGCCAUUGAUACUGUAAGUCUUGAGUAUAUUUGAGGUAGCUGGAAUAAGUAGUGUAGCGGUGAAAUGCAUAGAUAUUACUUAGAACACCAAUUGCGAAGGCAGGUUACCAAGAUAUAACUGACGCUGAGGGACGAAAGCGUGGGUAGCGAACAGGAUUAGAUACCCCCGUAGUCCCUGUCUCUUAUAA